Molecule: long non-coding RNA, 855 nt
Filed under: Pandoravirus dulcis
Description: putative ncRNA
Source: RNAcentral
CUGCGUCGGGGCAGCGCACGGCGGAGGCGUCGACGUCGGCCCGCGACACCAAGGCAGUGUCGGGCUCGUUGGCGAUGGCCUGGUCGCCCGCAGAACUCACCCACGCCACGAUUUCGAUACCGUACUGCGAUGGAGCGUGCGCGCGCGGUUAUAUUAGGCGCAGACAAAUCACGACACGCACAUGUGCACAAUGCAGCCACGCGCGCAGCGAAAAAAGCGCACAAAGCGCCCAGCGAAAAGACCGGUACAUGCAGACACGACAACUACUAUGCAGAGACGGCAGCGACAACAGCGACAGAAAGCAGGCACGCACGGCGCACCUUGAGACCGAGCCAUUUCUCGGCGACCGCGCCGGCGGCGACGCGCAUGAGGGUCUCGCGGGCAGACGACCGGCCUCCGCCCGACGACGCCUUGAUGCCGUACUUGGCCAUGUAGGUGUAGUCGGCGUGUGAGGGCCGCGGCACCUUGCACAUGUCGGAAUAGUCGACGGGCCGCUGGUCGCGGUUGGCCACAAAGAGGCCGACGGGCGAGCCGAGCGUGAGGCCGUUCUCCGUGCCCGACUGGAUGAUGACGCGAUCGGGCUCGUUGCGCGGCGUGGAAAGUGCGCCCUGGCCCGGUCGGCGCCGAUCCAACUGAGGCUGGAUGUCGGCCUCGGCCAGUGGCAUGCACGGCGGCACGCCGUCGAUGAUGCAGCCGACGCCCGCCCCGUGCGACUCGCCAAAGGUGGUGACCCUAAAUACCUUGCCGAAUGUGCUCAUGUCCGUCGGCAAAGCAAAACAAGACAAAAAAGAGAAAACGCAAAGCGUCGCUGUCGUCGUUGUGUCCAAAAAUAACAAUAACAAAAAGAAAGAUGCC